AUAUACUAUAUACAUACAUAUAUAGAUAUACUAGAAUAUUAAAGAGAAGAUUAGCAAAGCCUCUGUGAAGAGACACAGAAAUUUGUGAAAUAUUCCAUAUUUUG
Molecule: small nuclear RNA, 104 nt
Organism: Dromiciops gliroides (monito del monte)
Lineage: Eukaryota; Metazoa; Chordata; Mammalia; Microbiotheria; Microbiotheriidae
Source: RefSeq, a predicted model, not a curated record